This 253-nucleotide ribosomal RNA is filed under the name uncultured bacterium. Its description in RNAcentral is "partial 16S ribosomal RNA". It matches the Rfam family "Bacterial small subunit ribosomal RNA", at positions 524 to 776 of the family's 1533-position model. The record is from RNAcentral.
UACGGAGGGGGCAAGCGUUAUUCGGAAUUCUUGGGCGUCAAGGGCGCGUAGGCGGCUAGAUGUGUCAAAGGUGAAAUCCCUCGGCUCAACUGAGGAACUGCCUUUGAAACUGUCUGGCUUGAGGCCGGGAGAGGGUAGCGGAAUUCCCAGUGUAGCGGUGAAAUGCGUAGAUAUUGGGAGGAACACCAGUGGCGAAGGCGGCUACCUGGACCGGUUCUGACGCUGAGGCGCGAAAGCGUGGGUAGCAAACAGG